This 432-nucleotide ribosomal RNA is filed under the name uncultured bacterium. RNAcentral describes it as "partial 16S ribosomal RNA". It matches the Rfam family "Bacterial small subunit ribosomal RNA", at positions 29 to 507 of the family's 1533-position model. The record is from RNAcentral.
AACGAACGCUGGCGGCAUGCCUAACACAUGCAAGUCGAACGAGACCUUCGGGUCUAGGGGCGCACGGGUGCGUAACGCGUGGGAAUCUGCCCUUGGGUUCGGAAUAACAGUUGGAAACGACUGCUAAUACCGGAUGAUGACGUAAGUCCAAGGAUUUAUGGCCCAAGGAUGGGCCCGCGUAGGUUUGGCUAGUUGGUGAGGUAAAGGCUGACAAAGGCGACGAUCCUUAGCUGGUCGGGGAGAAUGAUCAGCAAGACUGGGACUGGGACACGGCCCAGACGCGAGGGAAGGCAGCAGUGGGGAAUAUUGGACAAUGGGGGAAAGCCUGAUACAGCCAUGCCGGGUAAGUGAUGAAGGCCGUAGGGUAGUAAAGCUCUUUUACCCGGGAUGAUAAUGACGGUACCGGGAGAAUAAGCUCCGGCUAACUACGUG